This 5906-nucleotide long non-coding RNA is filed under the name Fragaria vesca (wild strawberry). RNAcentral describes it as "long non-coding RNA (FVES_LNC002669)". The record is from RNAcentral. Lineage: Eukaryota; Viridiplantae; Streptophyta; Magnoliopsida; Rosales; Rosaceae.
ACAUAAACCACAGAAUUUGGUACUUUUGACUCAAGCCAAUCAAGACACUCUGGUUCUUCUUUCCAAAGAUUUGCCCCGAUCGUCUUUGAGUCAUCAUCUUCUUGGAUAUGACUGAGUUGUUGAUGAAGAGGUCCAAUGGAAUACACAGGUGGUAGCAAACUUGAAAAUGCAUCUAAAACUUUAUGCUCCAAGGCAUCAAAUGUGUUAAUAAUGAUAGCAGACGCUCUUUGAGCUUGUUCUAUCACAUCCAGAAGAUAACUCAGCAUGACAUCAUCUGGGUCUGUGGUUCUAAUGAAGGUUGGCAUGUCCCUCAAACGUAUACUGCCCAAGCCAGGUAACCAGUCAAUUACAGUGUCCAAGUAGCCAUUUGUUAAAUAACUGGCCUCUGCAAAUAAAGGAGACAAAGGUGAAGUUAACAUUCUGGUACCGCUACAUGUUUAGGACAUAGUGUUCCAGAAUAGUGAUGACCCAUACCUUUAAGUGGAACAAUACCCUUUUCAAUGAGAUGGGCAUAGUGAAGGUAGCACAUUAAUGCACAAGCACUCUCUGUAUGGAAGAGGACUACUGGAAAGCCAAGUUCAUGGGCUGCAUCAAGAGUGAAGGUCAUGCCAAAAUCAGAAAUUAUGCAAGUAACAGGAGGGGAAUUUGAUGAAGAAUUGAGUUCUGAAAGAAGGCUUCAGAAGGGUGCUAAAAAGUUAUUUCUAAUGGAACCACAUAGGGCUGGUAUGUCUUGGGUGACAUUGGCAUCAGUAGGAGGAAGGCCAUCGGGAAUCGAUUUGAACCUAAACGAGGGCAGGCCAUCGAGAGAGUUGGGACCUCGGGAUCUAAGCAAGCGCUCAUGGUUGUACUCUGUGUUGACAAAGGUUAUAUGAAAGCCUCUGUAGUGAAGGAUUUUAGCUAAUUUUAGCAUCGGGUUUAUGUGACCUUGAGCAGGGUAUGGUAUACAAACUGCAUGUGGCUUCUCUGAGGCGUUGGAACCCAUUCUCUCUCUCUCUUGAUUACAUAGGGGAUGAUUUGGGAAAGAGGAUGUGUACAGGGUUUUAUAGGGAAACGGAAUGUCUUACCAGUUUUAAAUUGGUAGAUAUCUGGCUUAUAAUUAUUCCAAUUUCAGUGUCCUAAAAUGACAUCCAGUAAAAGUUAACACAAAAUAUAUAGGAAGCCAGGAAGGUCUAUAACAAUUUACAUCCAUAUGAGGUGAGUCUACACUCCUGAGUCUGAAUCGCUGAAGUGUCUAACCUUUUUCAUUUUUAUUUUGCUAGAUGGGGAAUUCGUAUUCAGGAUUAAAUACCACUAAACAGUAAUAACAAGCAUAGAAAAAUUCCUUGCCUGCUCAAUGACACACAAUGAAGUAAAAGAAAGAUUGUAUGGUGUUCGUCCUCCAUCAUAAAUACAAGAACCAAACCCUUAAACUCCCUCCCCAAUCUCCUCCACAAUUUCCCUCUGCAUUUAUUCCUCAAACACUUUCCCAUCUCCCACCACUUACAUCUCCCGUCUAUACUCCUCAACAACUCUAUCGGCUAUUCCUCCUACCGUUUAGUGUAAAGAAUGUCAGCAACUUUCUUAUCAAGCUAGCAACAUUUUCCAUGUGUUCUAAUCUGCACUAACUUAUAAAUGUGGUAGAGUACAGAGUCUGCACCCGAAGAUAGUUAGAAUACAUAGUCUGCACCCGAAGAUAGUUAGAUAGAGUCUUGAGCUGGAAUUCUUCAGCUGAUCACAAUCAGUUGGCACAGAAAUUUACUAUAACAUCAGCAUCUUCCUAUAUGAACCCAAAGGAAACAAUCACACACUAAAACGUGGCCAUUUUGUUUAAUUUCUAUUCCAAUGGAACCCAUUUAUCAAUACCCAUAUAUCAAUUGAACCCAUUUAUCAAAACUCAUAUAUCAAUUGAACCUACAUAUCAAUUCAUAAUCUUAUAUCCUCUACUCUAGGUGACUGAAAAUAAAAAACAAUACUAAAAAAGACAGUAAAAAGCUACAUAAAGAAAGUGAAAACUUUUGAACCUGAAGAGGAGUGGAGAAGACGAGUCCAGCCUCACUCAUUCUUUGCUUGAGUUGAAGUACGUCAGCCCAUUGGACGUGUUCCUCGAUUUGGAGAAGGCCAAAGCUCCCGGGGGCGGCGGCCGGUUACUCGGCUAAGCCGAGUCGGCUUCUCCUCGCCGUCUCCGACCACAACAACCGAAUCGCAUCGCAACUCUCCUCCAAAUCCAAUUUCCUCUUCUACUUGAAUUUCGAUGUUUCAUCUAUGAAUUGCAAUUUCAAUUUCAAUUACUAAGAGGUAAAACUUCAUUCUCCAACAAAAAAAAAAAAAAAAAAAAAGAGAACUGGGCUUAUGGGGGCUAGGCGGAUCUUGGGCCGUCUAGGCGGAACCUAGUUUAGUUAGGCCUAGGCAGGUUGGUUGGUCCACUUUAAACAAACAAACAAAAAAAAAAACAAACAAAAGACAAUUGGGCUUAUGCGGGCUAGGCGGGAUUUGGGCCGGCUAGGCGGAAUCUAGUUUUAUUAGGCCUAGGCAGGUUGUUUAGUCCACCUCAAACCUUUCAUGUGUCGGAAGUGUGGGAAGUUGCUGGCGGUGAAAGGGUGAUUGGAGGACUCAUGAGAAGAAUUGCGGCAAGCGCUGGCUUUGCUCUUGUGGUUCAGAUUUCAAGCACAAGAGGUCGUUGAAAGAUCAUAUGAAGGCUUUUGGGUCUGGUCAUAGUCCUUUCCCUCCUACCUCUUUUGAUGAGGAUAGUACUGCAGCUUCGUUUGUUUAAGGAAUUCAAAGGUAUCUAUAGAAGUAAUCGAUGAUGAUACAACUAUUUGAGGCUUGCAUGCUAAAUAAUGAUUGAAAUUUGAGGACAUGAUGUUUUUGUAGUACACUCUUUAAAUUUAAAAUUUCUCCUAGUUUUUCAUAAUAUAACCCAAAGAUUAAUUAGAAUUUGUAUGCAUUAGCAUGUCUGGCUUUCAGAAAAGAAUGUGAAAAAAUAGGUUCACAAGUUACGCUUCCUGCACUUGUACCAAAUUACCAAAAGUCCCUGCCGAAAAAAGAAAAGAGAAGGAGCAACAUUCUCUCCCUCUUGUCACUAUAAGAAAAUUACUUUCACUUUCAAGGCCAUACGCCCUAACCGUUGAUGCUGCAUUUUUGCAAUAUUAUUGAUAGGCUAACAUGGAAUACAUGGCUCACUUGAAACAAGCUCAAUGUUGAAGACAAAGGAAACUAAAGAGAAAAGCUGAAGCAACUUUUUGAGUCCUUUUCUCUUAAUGCAACAAAGAUAAGAAAAUUAUUACACCGAUUGACUGCAGAUGGGAGCUCAUGCAGAUCUGUUCAGUAUGCUCUUCUCUAGGGGCAGAAGAUCAAAAAUAUGUGCUAGCACUAUAUGGACCUCGUUCUACGGGGAUUUUAUAGAUUAAUAAAACAAUAUUUAAUUAACGUGUCCAUCACGUGUCCGUAUCUUAUCAUAUCUGACAUUUGACGUGUCCACAUAUCGAAUACGGACACACGUACUCGUAUUCAUGCUUAGCUAUUUGAUGAGCUUCCGUAGCUUCAUGGUCUUCCUAACUCUAGAGGAAUCAGGUCCAACCCAAUUUGUCAUCAUAGACUAUCAAAGACUCAAAGAGCCUUUGUUUCUCGAAAGAGAGCUUAAGCAGGUUCCCUUUUAUUAAGAGGUUAAUUUGUUCGUGUAGGUUAGUAUAAACAGACGAGUGGAUGACUUCUGGUUUAGUUCAACAAAGAGCUUAACAGAACCUUGUCAAAACUAAAUGUUACCUGAUAAAUUAGAGUCUAGUUAGGUUUACUUGUUUGUAAUAACUCACAAACUACAGGAUUUCAAGAGGAUUUAGCGUUGAGCAAACGAAGGUACAAGAACACCUGUAAACUCUGUAAUCAUGUGGAGGCAAUCAUAUGCAGCUGUUCAACUUUGAAUUGAGCUCAACUGUAAACAAUAUAACACCUUUCCAUAUCUCUAAUUAUGAUGGAGAACAGACUGAGAUUGAAAACAGGUAUCUGGCAAAUCCUGAAGAACAUAUAUUGUUGCUGUUCAUAAACCGAAUCCUCGUAGCCAUAAACAAUGAUGAGUCUGCUUUCAGUUUUCUCUAACUCCGUUUUUACUCUCCAGUUGUUCAUCAUUGGGAUCCAUCUGUGACCAAUAGCUCACAUCUUCAAAUUUUUGCAACUAUACCCAAUAAAAUCUAUGCUAUAGUAGAAAAUACAGGCUAAAAUACUAUCAUGUAAUACCUUUUGUAAGGGACUAAUAACCUAUUUAAACAAUGAGAUAGACUACAGUAAUGUAAUUGAAUUGCAUGACAGAAGCACCAUUAUGGAAUUAAUGAUGUCCAAUGAAUAUAUAGUUCAUGGAGCCAUCUUCAAUCAAGAGAUCAGCAUCCGCUUUAAUAAUGUUGACAAAGCUGUUGCAUCUAUCUAAAGCUGUAAAACUUGACUCCAAAUGUACAAGAAUGAAAACAAGAACGCAAAGUGAAAUUCCCAUUGCAUGCUUAUUAUUUAUUAUUACAAUACUACACCAGAACGAUGAUCAUUAUAUAGAUUAUCCAAACAAAUAAUAUUCAUGUAGAUUCUAAUCGAAUCUGAUUUUUACGAGAAAAAGGCACUUGUCUAACCAUUUUGUCCAAGUUCAAGAAAGAUGAACCACAGGAGCUGUGGUAGCAUCCUCGGCCAACUUCUCCCAUUCCAUUCCUCAUCUACUUGCCAUCCUCUCCCUUCAUUAAUUUCCUCACAAGAUUCUCUACGUAAUUAUCCAUGUAGAUCCCUAAUAAAAUCUAAUUUUUAGGAGAAAGAAGCACCUGGUUAACCAUCUUGUUCAAAUUCAAGAAUGACGAACCAUUGGGAGCAGUAAUAGCUUCCUCUGCCAACUUCUUCCAUUCCAAGGAUUUCUUCCUCAUUUGUUUGCCUUCCUGUCCUCCCAUUAAUUUUCUCACAAGGUCUUCUAUAUAAUUCCUUUUAACAUCACCCUCUAUCUGCAUGGCUACACCCCACUCUUUGCAACAGAACCUACAAUUUGUUUGUUGGUCAGCAAAGAAGGGCCAACAGAUCAUGGGAACUCCACCACACAGACUUUCAACCAUAGAGUUCCAUCCACAGUGUGUCAAGAAACCUCCUAUAGCUGGAUGAUUCAGAACUUGUUCUUGAGGGCACCAACUCGCCAACCAACUCCUUCCCUUGGUCUCUUCUACAAACUCGGGUGGAACCACAGCUGAUUUCCCAGCAACAAGAUCAGGCCUAAUCACCCACAAAAAGGUCAUGCUACUAUUUGCGAGACCCCAAGCAAACUCAAUCAGCUGCUCGUCCGUCAUGACUGUGAUACUUCCAAAGUUUACAUAAACCACAGAGUUUGGUUCUUUUGACUCAAGCCAAUCAAGACACUCUGGUUCUUCUUUCCAAAGAUUUGCCCCGAUCCUCUUUGAGUCAUCAUCUUCUUGGAUAUGUCUGAGUUGUUGAUGAAGAGGUCCAAUGGAAUACACAGGUGGUAGCAAACUUGAAAAUGCAUCUAAAACUUUAUGCUCCAAGGCAUCAAAUGUGUUAAUAAUGAUAGCAGACGCUCUUUGAGCUUGUUCUAUCAUAUACAGAAGAUAACUCAGCAUGACAUCAUCUGGGUCUGUGGUUCUAAUGAAGGUUGGCAUGUCCCUCAAACGUAUACUGCCCAAGCCAGGUAACCAGUCUAUUACAGUGUCCAAGUAGCCAUUUGUUAAAUAACUGGCCUCUGCAAAUAAAGGAGACAAAGGUGAAGUUAACAUUCUGGUACCGCUACAUGUUUAGGACAUAGUGUUCCAGAAUAGUGAUGACCCAUACCUUUAAGUGGAACAAUACCCUUUUCAAUGAGAUGAGCAUAGUGAAGGUAGCACAUUAAUGCACAAGCACUCGCUGUCUGGAAGAGGACUACUGGAAGGCCAAGUUCAUGGGCUGCAUCAAGAGUGAAG